AAAAAGACAAACCUGAUUUCCGUGUCCAAUAUUUGACCGUCCGUCUUAUUUAAAAAAAUACGAAAAAAUUAAAAAGAUAAGUCACGCAUAAAGUAUUAAUCAUGUUUUAUCAUCUAACAAAAAUGAAAAUAAUAAUUAUAAAAAAAUUUCAUAUAAGACGGACAGUCAAACAUUGCCACGGAAAACUAGAGUUUGCCUUUUU
This is a non-coding RNA of Oryza glumipatula, 202 nucleotides long. Lineage: Eukaryota; Viridiplantae; Streptophyta; Magnoliopsida; Poales; Poaceae. The record is from Rfam.